This is a non-coding RNA of Candidatus Brocadia, 139 nucleotides long. The record is from Rfam. NCBI's taxonomy places the organism in Bacteria, Pseudomonadati, Planctomycetota, Candidatus Brocadiia, Candidatus Brocadiales, Candidatus Brocadiaceae.
CACGAUAAGGGCAAACCCGGAGUGAUCCGGGGACGCAAAGGAAAGGGUCUUUAAAACGGACACGGAAGUCCGGGAAGGCUGGAAAGCCUUUAAAGUAUAAUGUAAGGAAUUCGCUGAAAAGACAGCCUUACUGCCGAAG